GAUGAAGACGUAGCGAAAUGCGAUAAGUAAUGUGAAUUGCAGAAUUCAGUGAAUCAUCGAAUCUUUGAACGCAGAUUGCGCCCGGUAGUAUUCUGCCGGGCAUGCCUGUUCGAGCGUCAUUUCAACCAUCAAGCCCCAGCGCUUGGGUUGGGGGCCUGCGGCUGCCGCAGCCCCCUAAAAGCAGUGGCGGGCUCGCUAUCACACCGAGUGCAGUAGUUCAUCUUCUCUCCGGUCUUGUGAGGCGGGUUCCGGCCGUGAAACACCCCACUACAUUCAAGGUUGACCUCGGAUCAGGUAGGAAUACCCGCUGAACUUAAGCAUAUCAAUAAGCGGAGGA
This 337-nucleotide unclassified non-coding RNA is filed under the name soil metagenome. RNAcentral describes it as "partial contains 5.8S ribosomal RNA, internal transcribed spacer 2, and large subunit ribosomal RNA". The stretch from base 1 to 119 matches the Rfam family "5.8S ribosomal RNA", at positions 35 to 154 of the family's 154-position model. The record is from RNAcentral.